Molecule: unclassified non-coding RNA, 278 nt
Filed under: Hyaloscypha sp.
Lineage: Eukaryota; Fungi; Ascomycota; Leotiomycetes; Helotiales; Hyaloscyphaceae
Description: partial contains 5.8S ribosomal RNA, internal transcribed spacer 2, and large subunit ribosomal RNA
Rfam family: 5.8S ribosomal RNA (bases 1-71)
Source: RNAcentral
GUGAAUCAUCGAAUCUUUGAACGCACAUUGCGCCCCUUGGUAUUCCGAGGGGCAUGCCUGUUCGAGCGUCAUUAUAACCACUCAAGCCUCAGCUUGGUAUUAGGGUUCGCGGUCUCGCGGCUCUUAAAAUCAGUGGCGGUGCCGUCUGGCUCUAAGCGUAGUAAUAUUUCUCGCUAUAAAGUCCGGGCGGUUUCUUGCCAGAACCCCCCAUCUUACAAGGUUGACCUCGGAUCAGGUAGGGAUACCCGCUGAACUUAAGCAUAUCAAUAAGCGGAGGA